This 432-nucleotide ribosomal RNA is filed under the name uncultured bacterium. RNAcentral's name for it is "bacterial SSU rRNA". It matches the Rfam family "Bacterial small subunit ribosomal RNA", at positions 343 to 791 of the family's 1533-position model. The record is from RNAcentral.
AGGAGGCAGCAGUGAGGAAUCUUGCACAAUGGGGGCAACCCUGAUGCAGCGACGCCGCGUGAGCGAUGAAGCCCUUCGGGGUGUAAAGCUCUUUCGGCAGGGACGAGACAAGACGGUACCUGCAGAAGCAGCUGCGGCUAACUACGUGCCAGCAGCCGCGGUAAUACGUAGGCAGCGAGCGUUGUUCGGAAUUACUGGGCGUAAAGGGUGUGUAGGCGGUUCUCUAAGUUUGGUGUGAAAUCUCCCGGCUUAACCGGGAGGGUGCGCCGAAAACUGGGGGACUAGAGUGCGGGAAGGGAGAGUGGAAUUCCUGGUGUAGCGGUGAAAUGCGUAGAUAUCAGGAGGAACACCGGUGGUGUAGACGGCUCUCUGGACCGUAACUGACGCUGAGACACGAAAGCGUGGGUAGCAAACAGGAUUAGAUACCCUGGU